Molecule: long non-coding RNA, 5547 nt
Filed under: Medicago truncatula (barrel medic)
Lineage: Eukaryota; Viridiplantae; Streptophyta; Magnoliopsida; Fabales; Fabaceae
Description: long non-coding RNA (MTRU_LNC000028)
Source: RNAcentral
UAAACACAAGGAUGGAGAAACUAGUGUAAAGUGUGAAUUGAAAAUUUUAUGUCCCACAUCGGGUAGAUCACACACUCUAGUAGAAAUCCUCCUUAUAAAUUGAGAGCUCGGGAAUAGUAUUCUUCACUCCAAAACUGAGAAUCGAAUACUCUUCUCUGGUUUUCUCCCCUUCUCAUCUCCCGCGAUUUGUGUUGACGAGUCGUUCUUUUCCUCCUCCUCUUUCUGUGGGCUUCGGAAAAUUGUGGGCUUCGGAAGAGUGGUCUAAGAACCAUAUUGUGGGAUUCGGAAGAGUGGUCUAAGAACCAUAUUGUGGGUUUCGGAAGAGUGGUCUAAGUACCAUAUCGAGGUGUCAUUCUCGAGCGAUUUCUGGCAGUGCAGCCUUUAAUCGUACAGUAAGAAUCUGGGCUGUUUUAUCCUGGAGACGGCGCGGUUGCUAGUCUACCUUGCACAAUUCAGGUAGUGCCGCGAAACGUCUUAAAGAGAGCGACCUGGUCGUGACUCAUCCCGGUAAUAGUUUCAAAAGCUCCAUCGUAUAUUUUCAAAUUACAAAAAUCAACAUUUUUAAGACGUUUCGAAUACGAUACGAUGAGUUCUGAAAAGAUUACCGCGGUUUCAGCUGAUGACUUUAACAAACCGUUUCUGUUUACGGGUAGCCACUUCAAACGUUGGCAGCAAAAGAUGUUGUUCUUCUUGACAACUAAAAAGGUUGCCUACGUUUUGAAGGAAGCUAUGCCUGUAGCACCUACGAGUUCGACUCCUGCUGGAGCGAAUAAUAACGGUAAGGCGGCAGACCCUACUGCUGCUGAGAAAGCUGAACCUGAGAAAGCUGACCCAGAUAAACAGCUAGCCAUUGCUCUAUGGAAGGAAAAUGACUACCUCUGUAAGAAUUAUAUUCUUAAUAGACUCACAGACCCUCUAUAUGAUUAUUAUAGACUCUGUGAUACUGCUAAACAACUAUGGGAAGCACUUCAGAAGAAGUAUGAUACUGAAGAGGCUGGUGUUAAGAAAUACGCCGUAAGCCGCUAUCUGAAUUUCAAAAUGAGUGAUGAUAAGUCCGUUGAGGCACAAUCACAUGAGCUGCAACAAAUUGCUCACGAGAUCAUAGCUGAAGGGAUGGCACUUCCCGAACAAUUUCAAAUAGCUGUGAUUAUUGAUAAGCUGUCUCCUGCCUGGAAGGACUUCAAGAGUCUUCUUAGACACAAAACUAAGGAGUUCUCUCUUGAAAGUCUGAUCACUCGCCUUCGUAUUGAAGAAGAAGCGAGAAAGCAGGACCAGAAUGAAGAGGUGUUUGCUGUUUCUAACAACAACACUAAAAAGAAAUUUGUAGGUGCUGUUCUGAAGCCUGCUGGCAAACCAUUUAAGAAUCAGAACCGCCCUAUGAAUAAGAAUUCCAACAGGAAUAAGACUGGGAACAAUUCAAGACCCCAGAUUCAACAGCCACCAAAGAAUGAUGCUGCUCCACCUUUCAACUGUUACAAUUGUGGGCAAGCAGGUCAUGUGGCACGCAAGUGCAGAAACAGAACCAACCGACCAGCACAGGCUCACAUGGCUACUGAUGCUGCACCUGAUGAGCCCUACGUGGCUAUGAUUACUGAGAUCAAUAUGAUUGCAGGUUCUGAUGGCUGGUGGGUGGACACUGGUGCUUCUCGCCAUGUCUGCUAUGAUAGAGGUAUGUUCAAAACAUAUACUGCUUGUGGUGAUCAGAAGGUGUUGUUGGGAGACUCCCACUCCACUGAUGUUGUUGGAAUCGGAGAUAUAGAGCUGAACUUCACCUCUGGAAAGACUCUGAUACUGAAGGAUGUGCUGCACACUCCUAAGAUUAGGAAGAAUUUAGUUUCAGGUUUUCUUUUAAAUAAGGCUGGGUUUACUCAAAGCAUAGGGGCUGAUUUGUACACCAUCACUAAGAAUGGUAUUUUUGUUGGGAAAGGGUACGCCACUGAUGGCAUGUUUAAGUUGAACAUUGAUAUGAAUAAAAUUUCUUCUUCUGCUUAUAUGUUGUGUGAUUUUAAUAUUUGGCAUUCUAGACUCUGUCACGUUAACAAAAGAAUUAUUUCAAAUAUGAGCGGUUUAGGAUUAAUUCCUAAAAUAUCUUUAAACGAUUUUGAAAAAUGUCAAUUUUGUAGUCAAGCAAAAAUAAAUAAAGAAUCACAUAAAUCAGUAACCAGAAUAACUGAACCUUUUGAAUUAAUUCAUUCUGAUUUAUGCGAAUUAGAUGGAAACUUGACUAGAAAUGGAAAAAGAUAUUUCAUCACUUUUAUAGAUGACUGCUCGGAUUACACACAUGUGUAUUUAAUGAGAAAUAAAAAUGAAGCGCUUGAUAUAUUUAAACAGUAUGUUAAAGAAAUUGAAAAUCAAUUCAAUAUUAGAAUCAAGCGUUUUAGAAGUGACAGAGGUACUGAAUAUGGAUCACAUAUAUUCAAUGAGUAUUAUAAAGAACUCGGAAUUAUUCAUGAAACAACUGCUCCUUAUUCUCCUGAAAUGAACGGUAAAGCGGAAAGAAAAAAUAGAACGUUUACCGAAUUAGUAGUUGCAACAAUGCUUAAUUCCGGAGCAGCGCCUCAUUGGUGGGGAGAAAUUUUAUUGACUGUUUGCUAUGUGCUAAACAGAGUACCCAAAACAAAGAACAAAAUUUCUCCAUAUGAAAUUUUGAAGAAAAGACAACCAAACUUGUCUUAUUUUAGAACAUGGGGCUGUCUAGCCUAUGUAAGAAAACCAGACCCCAAAAGAGUCAAACUAGCAAGUAGAGCCUAUGAAUGUGCAUUCAUUGGGUAUGCCUUAAAUAGUAAAGCCUAUAGGUUUUACGACCUGAAAUCUAAAACGAUCAUAGAAUCAAAUGAUGUUGACUUCUAUGAAAAUAAAUUUCCCUUUAAGUCAGGAGACAGUGGGGGUAAUAGUGGGGGCACUGAUAACUCAGUUCUUGAUCAACCUUCUGAAAUCAUAACAAGCAAUGAAAACAUCGAAAGAGAUGUUAUAGAACCUCGUAGAGGUAAGAGAGCAAGAAUUGCUAAAGAAUAUGGCCCCGAAUAUGUGGCAUAUACAAUAGAGGAGGAUCCAUCAAGCAUCAAGGAAGCUCUGUCUUCAAUUGAUGCUGAUUUAUGGCAAGAAGCUAUAAAUGAUGAAAUGGAUUUUGUAAUGUCCAACGAAACUUGGCACCUAACUGACUUGCCUCCUGGAUGUAAGACUAUAGGUUGUAAGUGGAUUUUGAAAAAGAAACUAAAACCUGAUGGGUCAAUCGACAAAUACAAGGCACGCCUUGUAGCAAAAGGUUUUAGACAAAGAGAAAAUGUAGAUUUCUUUGACACAUAUUCACCUGUAACUAGAAUCACUUCCAUUAGGGUACUAAUCUCAUUGGCGGCUAUCCACAAUUUGAUAGUACACCAAAUGGAUGUAAAAACUGCUUUUUUAAACGGUGAAUUAGAAGAAGAAAUCUACAUGGACCAACCUGAAGGUUUCGUAAUCCAUGGACAAGAGAACAAAGUUUGUAAGUUAGACAAAUCUUUGUAUGGUCUAAAACAAGCACCGAAACAAUGGCAUGAGAAAUUCGACAAUCUUAUGAUUGAGAAUGAGUUUAAGGUGAAUGAAAGCGACAAGUGUAUUUAUUCCAAGUACGAAAAUAACACUUGCACGAUCAUAUGUCUAUACGUAGACGACUUACUCAUAUUUGGUUCAAACCUCAAUGCCAUUAAAGAUGUGAAAUCAUUGUUGUGCCACAACUUUGAUAUGAAAGACCUAGGAAAGGCAGAUGUAAUUCUUGGAAUCAAGAUUACUAGAACUGAUAAUGGAAUUUCCUUGAAUCAAUCUCACUACGUUGAGAAGAUCUUAAGGAAAUAUAAUUACUUCGAUUGUAAACCUGCGAGCACACCUUGUGACCCAAGUGUGAAGCUAUUUAAGAACACUGGAGAUAGUGUUAGACAAACUGAAUAUGCAAGCAUCAUUGGCAGUCUCAGAUAUGCCACUGAUUGUACUAGACCCGACAUCGGCUACGCCGUGGGACUAUUAUGCAAGUUUACGAGCAGGCCAAGCAUGGAGCAUUGGCAAGCUAUCGAAAGAGUCAUGAGAUACUUGAAGAAGACCAUGACUCUAGGACUGCAUUAUCAGAGAUAUCCUGCAGUGCUUGAAGGAUACAGUGACGCAGAUUGGAACACCUUAUCAGAUGAUUUCAAAGCGACCAGUGGCUAUAUAUUUAGCAUUGCUGGAGGAGCUGUUUCCUGGAAAUCCAAGAAACAGACCAUUCUGGCUCAGUCCACAAUGGAAUCUGAGAUGAUAGCACUAGCUGCUGCUAGUGAAGAAGCAAGUUGGCUAAGAUGCUUGCUAUCUGAAAUCCCUUUGUGGGAGAGACCGUUACCAGCUGUGUUAAUUCAUUGUGAUAGUACCGCGGCUAUCGCAAAGAUUGAGAAUCGUUAUUACAAUGGUAAGAGACGACAGAUAAGACGAAAACACAGCACGAUAAGAGAAUAUCUUUCGAACGGAACGGUAAGAGUAGAUUUCGUACGAACAAAUGAAAAUUUAGCUGAUCCUUUGACGAAAGGACUAAACAGAGAGAAAGUCGCAAAUACAUCUAGUAGUAUGGGACUAAUGCCUAUUGAUCAUAAGUGAUGGAAACCCGACCUAAAUGACUGGAGAUCCCAAGAACUAGGUUCAAUGGGUAAUAACAAAUCACAAGUGAUAGAACAUGCUAUGAGAACGCAUGAUCCUGCAGUGACCGAAGGUUGAGAUAAUAGAAACUCUUAAUGAGAUCUAUACUUCUUAUGGAGUGAAGUACAUAGCUACAGGAGUACUUCUGAUAGACUCACCUAUACGUAUGUAGAACUGAGGCCGGUUCUUAUGGAAUUUCGAGGCAGAAUUUCUAGAGCAUUCGUUAAAACUGGGAUAGAUGUGCAAGGCCAUUAACGCACGGGCUUUUUAGAAAACACCUAAGAAAAGGUUGUGUGUGGGUCCUAUGUCUGAGAUAGAGUUCAAUGCUGUAAGCAACUCUUGUUAAUCAGAAUACUACUCACUAUGCAAAGGUUCAAGUUGUUGGCGACACCUCUGUUUACUAGCAAUCUUUAAGAAACGUUUAAAACGUAACUUUCGAAACCAAUUUUGAAUUCAAGUGGGGGAUUGUUGGAACACUAGUGUAUAUUGGAAAAACUUGGAGUUUACUAGUGAGUUUGUGGAGCCUUUGGAAUGUAAACACAAGGAUGGAGAAACUAGUGUAAAGUGUGAAUUGAAAAUUUUAUGUCCCACAUCGGGUAGAUCACACACUCUAGUAGAAAUCCUCCUUAUAAAUUGAGAGCUCGGGAAUAGUAUUCUUCACUCCAAAACUGAGAAUCGAAUACUCUUCUCUGGUUUUCUCCCCUUCUCAUCUCCCGCGAUUUGUGUUGACGAAUCGUUCUUUUCCUCCUCCUCUUUCUGUGGGCUUCGGAAAAUUGUGGGCUUCGGAAGAGUGGUCUAAGAACCAUAUUGUGGGAUUCGGAAGAGUGGUCUAAGAACCAUAUUGUGGGUUUCGGAAGAGUGGUCUAAGUACCAUAUCGAGGUGUCAUUCUCGAGCGAUUUCUGGCAGUGCAG